CUACGUGCCAGCAGCCGCGGUAAUACGGAAGGUCCAGGCGUUAUCCGGAUUUAUUGGGUUUAAAGGGAGUGUAGGCGGUUUGUUAAGCGUGUUGUGAAAUUUAGGUGCUCAACAUUUAACUUGCAGCGCGAACUGUCAGACUUGAGUACACGCAACGUAUGCGGAAUUCAUGGUGUAGCGGUGAAAUGCUUAGAUAUCAUGAAGAACUCCGAUUGCGAAGGCAGCAUACGGGAGUGUAACUGACGCUUAAGCUCGAAGGUGCGGGUAUCGAACAGGAUUAGAUACCCUGGUAGUCCGCACAGUAAACGAUGGAUGCCCGCUGUUAGCGCCUGGCGUUAGCGGCUAAGCGAAAGCAUUAAGCAUCCCACCUGGGGAGUACGCCGGCAACGGUGAAACUCAAAGGAAUUGACGGGGGCCCGCACAAGCGGAGGAACAUGUGGUUUAAUUCGAUGAUACGCGAGGAACCUUACCCGGGCUUGAAUUGCAGAGGAAGGAUUUAGAGAUA
This 505-nucleotide ribosomal RNA is filed under the name uncultured bacterium. RNAcentral's name for it is "bacterial SSU rRNA". It matches the Rfam family "Bacterial small subunit ribosomal RNA", at positions 501 to 1008 of the family's 1533-position model. The record is from RNAcentral.